This 255-nucleotide ribosomal RNA is filed under the name uncultured bacterium. RNAcentral describes it as "partial 16S ribosomal RNA". It matches the Rfam family "Bacterial small subunit ribosomal RNA", at positions 524 to 776 of the family's 1533-position model. The record is from RNAcentral.
UACGGAGGGGGCUAGCGUUGUUCGGAAUUACUGGGCGUAAAGCGCACGUAGGCGGCUUUGUAAGUUAGAGGUGAAAGCCCGGGGCUCAACUCCGGAAUUGCCUUUAAGACUGCAUCGCUAGAAUUGUGGAGAGGUAAGUGGAAUUCCGAGUGUAGAGGUGAAAUUCGUAGAUAUUCGGAAGGAACACCAGUGGCGAAGGCGGGUAGCUGGGCCAACACUGGACGCUGAGACGCGAAAGCUAGGGGAGCAAACGGG